AAACUUUUAACAACGGAUCUCUUGGUUCUGGCAUCGAUGAAGAACGCAGCGAAAUGCGAUAAGUAAUGUGAAUUGCAGAAUUCAGUGAAUCAUCGAAUCUUUGAACGCACAUUGCGCCCCCUGGUAUUCCGGGGGGCAUGCGUGUGCGAGCGUCAUUU
This 158-nucleotide ribosomal RNA is filed under the name uncultured fungus. RNAcentral describes it as "5.8S ribosomal RNA". It matches the Rfam family "5.8S ribosomal RNA". Rfam says of the family: 5.8S ribosomal RNA (5.8S rRNA) is a component of the large subunit of the eukaryotic ribosome. It is transcribed by RNA polymerase I as part of the 45S precursor that also contains 18S and 28S rRNA. The record is from RNAcentral. Lineage: Eukaryota; Fungi.